Molecule: transfer RNA, 66 nt
Filed under: Paratrichobius longicrus
Lineage: Eukaryota; Metazoa; Arthropoda; Insecta; Diptera; Streblidae
Description: tRNA-Thr
Rfam family: tRNA
About the family: Transfer RNA (tRNA) molecules are approximately 80 nucleotides in length. Their secondary structure includes four short double-helical elements and three loops (D, anti-codon, and T loops).
Source: RNAcentral
GUUUUAAUAGUUUAAAAAAAAAAACAUUGGUCUUGUAAAUCAAAAUUAAGAAAUUCUUUUAAAACA